GAUGAACGCUGGCGGCGUGCCUAAUACAUGCAAGUCGAGCGAACAGACGAGGAGCUUGUUCCUCUGACGUUAGCGGCGGACGGGUGAGUAACACGUGGAUAACCUACCUAUAAGACUGGGAUAACUUCGGGAAACCGGAGCUAAUACCGGAUAAUAUAUUGAACCGCAUGGUUCAAUAGUGAAAGACGGUUUUGCUGUCACUUAUAGAUGGAUCCGCGCCGCAUUAGCUAGUUGGGAAGGUAACGGCUUACCAAGGCAACGAUGCGUAGCCGACCUGAGAGGGUGAUCGGCCACACUGGAGCUGAGACACGGUCCAGACUCCUACGGGAGGCAGCAGUAGGGAAUCUUCCGCAAUGGGCGAAAGCCUGACGGAGCAACGCCGCGUGAGUGAUGAAGGUCUUCGGAUCGUAAAACUCUGUUAUUAGGGAAGAACAAAUGUGUAAGUAACUAUGCACGUCUUGACGGUACCUAAUCAGAAAGCCACGGCUAACUACGUG
RNAcentral lists this ribosomal RNA (497 nucleotides) under uncultured bacterium. RNAcentral describes it as "partial 16S ribosomal RNA". It matches the Rfam family "Bacterial small subunit ribosomal RNA", at positions 28 to 507 of the family's 1533-position model. The record is from RNAcentral.